UGGGGAAUCUUGCACAAUGGGCGAAAGCCUGAUGCAGCGACGCCGCGUGCGGGAUGAAGGCCCUCGGGUCGUAAACCGCUUUCAGCAGGGACGAAAUUGACGGUACCUGCAGAAGAAGCCCCGGCCAACUACGUGCCAGCAGCCGCGGUAAUACGUAGGGGGCAAGCGUUGUCCGGAUUUAUUGGGCGUAAAGAGCUCGUAGGCGGUUCAGUAAGUCAUGUGUGAAAUCUCCGCGCUCAACGCGGAGGCGCCACGUGAUACUGCUGUGACUCGAGUCCGGUAGGGGAGUGUGGAAUUCCCGGUGUAGCGGUGAAAUGCGCAGAGAUCGGGAGGAACACCCGUAGCGAAGGCGACACUCUGGGCCGGUACUGACGCUGAGGAGCGAAAGCGUGGGGAGCAAACAG
This 404-nucleotide ribosomal RNA is filed under the name uncultured bacterium. RNAcentral describes it as "bacterial SSU rRNA". It matches the Rfam family "Bacterial small subunit ribosomal RNA", at positions 355 to 775 of the family's 1533-position model. The record is from RNAcentral.